GAUGAACGCUGACAGAAUGCUUAACACAUGCAAGUCUACUUGAAUUUGGGUUUUUAACUUAGGUUUGGGUGGCGGACGGGUGAGUAACGCGUAAAGAACUUGCCUCACAGCUAGGAACAACAUUUAGAAAUGAAUGCUAAUACCUAAUAUUAUGAUAAUAGGGCAUCCUAUAAUUAUGAAAGCUAUAUGCGCUGUGAGAGAGCUUUGCGUCCCAUUAGCUAGUUGGAGAGGUAACGGCUCACCAAGGCGAUGAUGGGUAGCCGGCCUGAGAGGGUGAUCGGCCACAAGGGGACUGAGACACGGCCCUUACUCCUACGGGAGGCAGCAGUGGGGAAUAUUGGACAAUGGACCGAGAGUCUGAUCCAGCAAUUCUGUGUGCACGAUGAAGUUUUUCGGAAUGUAAAGUGCUUUCAGUUGGGAAGAAAGAAAUGACGGUACCAACAGAAGAAGUGACGGCUAAAUACGUGCCAGCAGCCGCGGUAAUACGUAUGUCACGAGCGUUAUCCGGAUUUAUUGGGCGUAAAGCGCGUCUAGGUGGUUAUAUAAGUCUGAUGUGAAAAUGCAGGGCUCAACUCUGUAUUGCGUUGGAAACUGUAUAACUAGAGUACUGGAGAGGUAAGCGGAACUACAAGUGUAGAGGUGAAAUUCGUAGAUAUUUGUAGGAAUGCCGAUGGGGAAGCCAGCUUACUGGACAGAUACUGACGCUGAAGCGCGAAAGCGUGGGUAGCAAACAGG
RNAcentral lists this ribosomal RNA (735 nucleotides) under uncultured Fusobacterium sp. RNAcentral's name for it is "bacterial SSU rRNA". It matches the Rfam family "Bacterial small subunit ribosomal RNA", at positions 28 to 776 of the family's 1533-position model. Lineage: Bacteria; Fusobacteriati; Fusobacteriota; Fusobacteriia; Fusobacteriales; Fusobacteriaceae. The record is from RNAcentral.